CCUACGGGUAGCAGCAGUGGGGAAUAUUGGACAAUGGGCGAAAGCCUGAUCCAGCAAUGCCGCGUGAGUGAUGAAGGCCUUAGGGUUGUAAAGCUCUUUACCAGGGAUGCAGUACCUGGAGAAUAAGCCCGGCUAACUCCGUGCCAGCAGCCGCGGUAAUACGGAGGGGCUAGCGUUGUUCGGAAUUACUGGGCGUAAAGCGCACGUAGGCGGCUUUUUAAGUCAGGGGUGAAAUCCCGGGGCUCAACCCCGGAACUGCCCUUGAAACUGGGAAGCUAGAAUCUUGGAGAGGCGAGUGGAAUUCCGAGUGUAGAGGUGAAAUUCGUAGAUAUUCGGAAGAACACCAGUGGCGAAGGCGACUCGCUGGACAGAUUGACGCUGAGGUGCGAAAGCGUGGGGAGCAAACAGGAUUAGAUACCCUUGUAGUC
RNAcentral lists this ribosomal RNA (428 nucleotides) under uncultured bacterium. Its description in RNAcentral is "partial 16S ribosomal RNA". It matches the Rfam family "Bacterial small subunit ribosomal RNA", at positions 338 to 795 of the family's 1533-position model. The record is from RNAcentral.